Molecule: ribosomal RNA, 442 nt
Filed under: uncultured bacterium
Lineage: Bacteria
Description: partial 16S ribosomal RNA
Rfam family: Bacterial small subunit ribosomal RNA
Source: RNAcentral
CCUACGGGCGGCAGCAGUGGGGAAUAUUGGGCAAUGGGCGAAAGCCUGACCCAGCAACGCCGCGUGAAGGAAGAAGGCUUUCGGGUUGUAAACUUCUUUUGACAGGGAAGAGCAGAAGACGGUACCUGUCGAAUAAGCCACGGCUAACUACGUGCCAGCAGCCGCGGUAAUACGUAGGUGGCAAGCGUUGUCCGGAUUUACUGGGUGUAAAGGGCGUGUAGCCGGGCUGACAAGUCAGAUGUGAAAUACGGGGGCACAACCCCCGAACUGCAUUUGAAACUGUUGGUCUUGAGUAUCGGAGAGGCAGGCGGAAUUCCUGGUGUAGCGGUGAAAUGCGUAGAUAUUAGGAGGAACACCAGUGGCGAAGGCGGCCUGCUGGACGACAACUGACGGUGAGGCGCGAAAGCGUGGGGAGCAAACAGGAUUAGAUACCCUUGUAGUC